This is a long non-coding RNA of Setaria italica (foxtail millet), 1336 nucleotides long. RefSeq lists it as uncharacterized. NCBI's taxonomy places the organism in Eukaryota, Viridiplantae, Streptophyta, Magnoliopsida, Poales, Poaceae. The transcript has 3 exons. The record is from RefSeq and is a predicted model, not a curated record.
CUUGUGCUUGCCUCCUCCCGGGCCACACGACGGCGGCGGCCGCAGUGAAUACGGGAAGAGGCGCGUCGCUUUCGCCGGCCGCCGCCGCCCGCCCUCGCACGGGACGCGGCUUCCCCAAUCCGACGGCCGCGAUCCUGCCCACGCCGCCGCUGAUCGAGGACGCACGCGGAUCCGUUGCGUCUGGGAAAACGGCGCGCCCGCAUGGGGGGACCACGCACACGCCUUCCCGUGGAUUUCUUUCUCCCAGCUCGGCGAUGGAGGAGGAAGGGCAUCGUCAUCGAUGGGAUCCAGGUACUCGCGUGCGCGUCAAGAAAGUACCCGUAAAGUCAGAUCUCAUCCUGCUCCGGCCUACCAAACCUACCAGCGCUCCGUCCGACCUUAUCUUCUCCACGAACCGUUGCGAAGAUUUUCGAGUCUCGUGACCGUGUACGCGUGCGACGAGCCCGAGCCGGAUGCCGGCCGCUCUCACGAAUUGACGCGGCCAUCCCCGUCGUCUCCGCGAGACCCCACACGCCUCCAUCACCUUUCCUUUCCCGACUUUCUCCUCCCAGCCUGAAUCCCACGAAUUGAUGCGGCCAUCCCCGUCAUCUCCCCGAGACCCCACACGCCUCCAUCACCUUCCCUCCCCCUCUCCGUUUUCUGACUUCUCCUCCCAGCCUGAAUGCCAGAAACGGAUCAGUUAAUAUAUCCGGGAUAAUUACAAGCUUCUACCGAAGACACCCCUGAAGGGUUGACCGUGUAUAAUGAAACUUGUACUCAUCUAUUAUUGAAUAAGAAAUAUGUUCCACCUACAUCUACUGUCUCUCGUGUGUGUCGUGCUUGGGAUCGGGAAGAGAGAUAGGUCAUCUACUGUCUUCUCCACGCCUCAUCUGCUGCUAGGAAGGGAAUGUGGAUCUCGGGAUUCACAACGACGCCUACAGUUUAACACGUUAUCAACAGCCCUACAUUCAAGCCAGAACGCUGAAGCUCACUUUGCUCAGGCACGGGUCGAUGCCGUCGCUGGAGAGCAUGUUGUGGUGCUGCCCCAGCCUGUCGAGAACACAGAAGGUCAUGCUGCUACGGAUGUCGAUCCAAUUAAUAUCUGGUACCGCUACCCAGGGAGGCGACGAUGGUUACGACCUCGAUGAAGAGGACACCCUCGACGAUGAUUUUGGGGACAUGGCAUAGUUCCCAAGUCAUUAGUCAUUUUGCUUAGAUUUGGUUUAAUUAGUCAGUUUGAUUUAUUUCCAGAAGAAAUUUGGCGUGAUGUAAUAAUGCUCUCGUUGAGCAAACUGAAUCAUUUGUUUUGUUUGAACCAUUAGCAUUUAAAUACUAUAUCCUGGUUAGGUAUUUUAAA